GACGAACGCCGGCGGCGUGCCUAAUACAUGCAAGUCGAACGCAUUUUCUUUCACCGUAGCUUGCUACACCGAAAGAAAAUGAGUGGCGAACGGGUGAGUAACACGUGGGCAACCUGCCCAUCAGCGGGGGAUAACACUUGGAAACAGGUGCUAAUACCGCAUAAUUCCAUUUACCGCAUGGUAGGGGGAUGAAAGGCGCUUUUGCGUCACUGAUGGAUGGACCCGCGGUGCAUUAGCUAGUUGGUGGGGUAACGGCCUACCAAGGCUGCGAUGCAUAGCCGACCGGAGAGGGUGAUCGGCCACACUGGGACUGAGACACGGCCCAGACUCCUACGGGAGGCAGCAGUAGGGAAUCUUCGGCAAUGGACGCAAGUCUGACCGAGCAACGCCGCGUGAGUGAAGAAGGGUUUCGGAUCGUAAAACUCUGUUGUUAGAGAAGAACAAGGAUGAGAGUGGAAAGUUCAUCCCUUGACGGUAUCUAACCAGAAAGCCACGGCUAACUACGUG
RNAcentral lists this ribosomal RNA (507 nucleotides) under uncultured bacterium. Its description in RNAcentral is "partial 16S ribosomal RNA". It matches the Rfam family "Bacterial small subunit ribosomal RNA", at positions 28 to 507 of the family's 1533-position model. The record is from RNAcentral.